Molecule: ribosomal RNA, 370 nt
Filed under: uncultured eukaryote
Lineage: Eukaryota
Description: partial 18S ribosomal RNA
Rfam family: Eukaryotic small subunit ribosomal RNA
Source: RNAcentral
CAAUAGCGUAUAUUAAAGUUGUUGCAGUUGAAAAGCUCGUAGUUGGAUUUCUGGUCGGAAGCUCCUGUCCUCUGAUGAGCGUACAAGUGCGUCCUACCAUCCUUCUGUUAACCUUUAAGGCUUUCGCGGCUUUCUAGGGGCUCAGAUAUUUUACCUUGAGAAAAUUAGAGUGUUUCAGGCAGGCUAGCGCCGGAAUACAUUAGCAUGGAAUAAUGGAAUAGGACUUUUGCCUCUUCUGUUGGUCAUGAGGCUCGAGUAAUGAUUAAUAGGGAUAGUUGGGGGCAUUAGUACUUAACUGUCAGAGGUGAAAUUCUCGGAUUUGUUAAAGACUAACUUAUGCGAAAGCAUUUGCCAAGGAUGUUUUCAUUAA